GCAUGCAAGUCGCGCGACAAGCCAUUUUUAGCUUGCUAUUAGUGGUGGAGGAGCGGCGUAAGGGAGAGUAACGGGUGGAUUAUCUGCCCUCAGGUCUGGGAUAGCCACGGGAAACUGUGGGUAAUACCGGAUAGUAUCUGCGGAUCAAAGGUGUGAUUCCGCCUGAGGAUGAGUCCGCCUCCUAUUAGCUUGUUGGUGGGGUAACGGCCUACCAAGGCUACGAUGGGUACCGGGUGUGAGAGCAUGGCCCGGCUCACUGGGACUGAGACACUGCCCAGACACCUACGGGUGGCUGCAGUCGAGAAUCUUCGGCAAUGGGCGCAAGCCUGACCGAGCGAUGCCGCGUGCGGGAUGAAGGCCUUCGGGUUGUAAACCGCUGUCAGUAGGGAGGAAAUGUAUGGGGGUCAUCCCCCAUGCUUGACCUAUCUUCAGAGGAAGGACGGGCUAAGUUCGUGCCAGCAGCCGCGGUAAGACGAACCGUCCAAACGUUAUUCGGAAUUACUGGGCUUAAAGGGUGCGUAGGCGGCGCGGUCAGUCGGAUGUGAAAUCGUACAGCUCAACUGUACAACUGCGUCCGA
This 578-nucleotide ribosomal RNA is filed under the name uncultured bacterium. Its description in RNAcentral is "bacterial SSU rRNA". It matches the Rfam family "Bacterial small subunit ribosomal RNA", at positions 53 to 630 of the family's 1533-position model. The record is from RNAcentral.